UGGUAGUGUAUUGGACUACCAUGGCAGUCACGGGUAACGGAGAAUUAGGGUUCGAUUUCGGAGAGGGAGCCUGAGAAACGGCUACCACAUCUAAGGAAGGCAGCAGGCGCGUAAAUUACCCAAUCCCGAUUCGGGGAGGUAGUGACAAGAAAUAGCAACUCGUGCGGGUUUCCGUUACGGGAUUGCAAUGAGAUAGGUCCAAAUCCGUAAACGACUAACAAUUGGAGGGCAAGUCUGGUGCCAGCAGCCGCGGUAAUUCCAGCUCCAAUAGCGUAUACUUAAGUUGUUGCAGUUAAAAAGCUCGUAGUUGAAAUUCGAGUCAGUUACUAGUUGGCUUUUCGUCAGUUAGUUAAUUGAUUCUCCGUCUACAAUCCCUUUUGCGCUUUAGGGCUGCAGCUGGGCGAGUAGACAAUUUACCUUGAAAAAAUUAGAGUGUUCCAGGCAGGUCUUCGCCGGAAUGCAUUAGCAUGGAAUAAUGGAAUAGGACUUGGGUCUUUUGUUGGUUUUAGGACUUGAGUAAUGAUUAAUAGGGACAGAUGGGGGCAUUAGUAUUUAAUUGUCAGAGGUGAAAUUCUUGGAUUUAUUAAAGACUAUCUUAUGCGAAAGCAUUUGCCAAGGAUGUUUUCAUUAUUCAAAACGAAAGUUAGGGGAUCAAAGACAAUCAGA
This 666-nucleotide ribosomal RNA is filed under the name uncultured ciliate. Its description in RNAcentral is "SSU rRNA". It matches the Rfam family "Eukaryotic small subunit ribosomal RNA", at positions 326 to 1012 of the family's 1831-position model. Lineage: Eukaryota; Ciliophora. The record is from RNAcentral.